AGGGAGAGAGUUAGAGAAGACUCUGCUCCACCACCUCUUGUGGAAGAUCUUUGUCAGGCCCACCCGCAGCCAUGCCCACAGCCAUCUGGAGGCCUAAACGUCUCCCUGUGAUGCUGUGCUUCAGUGGUCACGCUCCUUGUUCUUUCAUGUUCAGCCUGUACACCUGGCUCCUCCUUUUAAGUUCUUAGAAGACAGCAGUAGCAGAACUAGUAGGAGUACCACAGUCUUCGAUCUUUCUGAUAAGUGCAUAGAAGAAACGCUGACGUUUGCUGUCCUCCCUCUCCACCUCGGCUACCACAAAGGGAAAGGCCCCCUGUCCAGUGGACACGUGACUCGCGUGACCUAUCGAUCAUUGGAGAUGACUGGCACUCCUUACCCUGCCCCCUUGCCUUGACUACAAUAAAUAGCAGCGCCUCCAGGCACUCGGGGCCACUACCUGUCUGUCUCCGCGCUUUGGUGGCAGUGGUCCCCCGGGCCCAGCUGUCUUUCUUCCUAUCUCUUUGUCUUCUGUCUUUAUCUCUUCGAUCUCUCGUCUCCGCACACACGCGAAGAGAAAACCCACAGACCCGGUAGGGGUGGACCCUACAUUAUCUCAGCUACAACAUAAUCAGGAUAUUCACGUGGACUACUGAGUCUUUCGGUGCCCCCUUGCUGUUUUAGUUUUGUCCUGCGGCCGAGUGUUUCCCUCGCUUCACGCCAACACAAUCUCCGCCGCCCUGUCUUGUCAUCCCCAUUCUACAGCCCAGCACGGUGUAGUAUGGCAGCCGCUAGCCACAGGUAUCUAGGGAGCCCUGGAAAUGUGGUCAGUUCUAAUGGAGCUGCGCUGUUAAGUGUGAAAUACACAUGGGAUUUUGACGGCAGUGGGAGCAAAAUUCUCCCAAUUUUUUUUUUUUUUUUUUUUUUUUUUCAGACGGAGGUUCCGCUCUUGUUACCCAGCCUGGAGUCCAAUGGCGC
This 954-nucleotide long non-coding RNA is filed under the name Homo sapiens (human). RNAcentral's name for it is "HSALNT0240969". The record is from RNAcentral. Lineage: Eukaryota; Metazoa; Chordata; Mammalia; Primates; Hominidae.